AUGGGGAAAAUCAAUGGGAAAAUGGGGAAAAAUCAAUGGGAAAAUGGGGGGAAAUGGGGAAAAAUGGGGGGAAAAAGGGGGAAAACGGGAAAAAAUGGGGAAAAAUGGGGAAAAAUAGGGGGGAAACGGGAAAAAAUGGGGAGAAAUGGGGGAAAAUCAAUGGGAAAACGGGGAAAAAUAGGGGGAAAAAGGGGGAAAAUGGGAAAAAAUGGGGAAAAAUGUGAGAAUAAAGGGGGAAAAUGGGAAAAAUGGGGAGAAAAUGGGGAAAAAUGGGGAAAAUGGGGAAAAAAUGGGGAAAAAAUGGGGAAAAAUGGGGAAAAUCAAUGGGAAAAUGGGGGGAAAUGGGGAAAAAUCAAUGGGAAAAUGGGGAAAAAUGGGGAAAAUCAGUGGGAAAAUGGGAAAAAAUGGGGAGAAAUGGGGAGAAAAUGGGAAAAAAUUGGGAAAAAUGGGGAGAAAAAGGGGGAAAAUGGGGAAAAAUGGGGAAAAAUGGGGAGAAAUGGGGAAAAUGGGAAAAAAUGGGGGAAAAUGGGAAAAAAUGGGGGGAAAUGGGGAGAAAACGUGAGAAAUGGGGAGAAAAUGGGGGAAAAAAUGGGGAAAAUCAACGGGAAAAUGGGGAAAAAUGGGGAGAAAACGGGAAAAAUGGGGAUAAAAUGGGGAAAAAUGGGGAAAAUCAGUGGGAAAAUGGGAAAAAAUGGGGAGAAAAUGGGAAAAUCAAUGGGAAAAUGGGGGGAAAAUGGGGAAAAAUGGGGAGAAAUGGGGAAAAAUGUGCGAAUAAAGGGGGAAAAUGGGGAAAAAUGGGGAGAAAAUGGGGAGAAAAUGGGGAAAAGGGGGAAAAAUGGGGAUAAAUCAAUGGGAAAAUGGGGGGAAAAAGGGGGAAAACGGGAAAAAAUCCGGAAAAAUGGGGGGAAAUGGGGGGAAAAAGGGAAAAAAUGGGGAGAAAAUGGGGGGAAAAAGGGGGAAAAUGGGAAAAAUGGGGAGAAAUGGGGAAAAUCAAUGGGAAAAUGGGAAAAAUGGGGAAAAAUGGGGAAAAUGGGGAGAAAAAGGGGGAAAAUCAACGGGAAAAAUGGGGAGAAAUGGGGGGGAAACGGGAAAAAUCAAUGGGAAAAUGGGGAAAAAUGGGGAAAAAUGGGGGAAAAUGGGGAAAAUGGGAAAAAAAAUGGGGAAAAUGGGAAAAAUGGGAAAAAAAUGGGAAAAAAUGGGAUAAAAAUGGGAAAAAAUGGGGAAAAAAAUGGGAAAAAAUGGUGA
Molecule: long non-coding RNA, 1245 nt
Filed under: Cyanistes caeruleus (blue tit)
Lineage: Eukaryota; Metazoa; Chordata; Aves; Passeriformes; Paridae
Description: lncRNA (ENSCCEG00000005242.1)
Source: RNAcentral